UAGUUACCUCAAAGAUGAGGUAAGGGAAUGAGAAAUGGGCUUCGAUCACUCCUUCAGGUCACCAAACGUGUGAUCAAGUGAUUAAAGAUAUUGAAUCCUGAACCAACUUAAACCGAAGGGGUUUGAAACAUGAAAUAAGAAGAGACUUCUCGUACCUUUUGUAUCAGGGUGGGAGGAAUAGACCAUCCGACCUGAUGAAAUCCCGAAAGAAGAGGAUUUACAAUCUCCCAUCAUUUAAGUUUCAAUUUGAUGAGAAAGAGAUUGUAGAAAUGACAAGUUACUCGUCUCUUCAUAUCUGGUUCCAUUGUCUUCUCUUUAGGAGAGGUUUGGGUUAAUAGAAAAUCCAAGCCAACUUCACAGGGGAUAAGCUCUGAGAAGAGUGAGAAUUGGGCAAACAAACCACUCACCUAAAUAAUUUUGAUUUAAUUUAAUCCAAACUCUCACUAAUUAAGGGUGACCAAGAGGAACAUGACCUCAGGUGAAAUAAUCUCCCAAUAAGUAUACACGACAAACUUGGAGAAAGGAACUUGGCAAACAGUGAUUCUGAUUGUUUAAUAAAAACAUUUCCUCUGGAAGUAAAUCGGAGGUAAGACCUGCUCAAUGUGUUCAAUAAAUAGCCGCAGUAUCUUAACUGUGCAAAGGUAGCAUAAUAAUUAGGCUCUUAAUUGGAGUCUGGAAUGAACGGACUAACAAGAAUUAAUCUGUCUCUCUCUUAGGAGUAGAAGUUAAACCGUUUGUAAAAAUGCAAACAUAAACAAGAGGGACGAUAAGACCCUACAGAUCUUCCAACACUUGUGUUGUUAUUUGGGAUGAAUCCAGAGAGAAGUAAACUUCGGAUAAAAUUACGACUAGACAGUCAACUUUUGAUCCAUUAUGAUGAUAAAUCGUAAAAGUUACCUUAGGGAUAACAGGAUAAUAAUCUCCCACUAGACCUAAUUGUGGGAGGUGAUUGUUACCUCGAUGUUGAAUUAGGGUACCCACGAACUGCAGAAGGUCAAAUGGUUGGUCUGUUCGACCAUUAAAACCCUACAUGAUUUGAGUUUAGACCGACGAGAGUCAGGUCAGAUUCUAUCUUCUUAAAUCUAGUCUAUCAUUGUACGAGAGGACUUGAUGGACCAAUAACUAAUGAUUGAAUUACCCUUCAAUUACAAUUAUUGACAAUUAUAG
Molecule: ribosomal RNA, 1167 nt
Filed under: Goniodes dissimilis (brown chicken louse)
Lineage: Eukaryota; Metazoa; Arthropoda; Insecta; Psocodea; Philopteridae
Description: 16S ribosomal RNA
Rfam family: Bacterial large subunit ribosomal RNA (bases 733-1078)
Source: RNAcentral